UUUUGUGAAAACAUGUUCAUUUGAAUAACAUAUAUAGCAUGCAUUUAACAAUUAAAAGGCGGAAUCAUGCUUGCAUGCAUUCAAAAACAAAACAUUACCCAUGAAAUUCAAAGCCUAGUAGAUUGGUGAACCAAGACUCAACUCAAAUCAAAGUGAGUUGAGAAAUAUAUACCUUUGUAGAUUCCUUUUUGCAUAAGCAAAGGCUAAUCACCCAAAGAGAGGGCCUUCAUUCCUUGCUUCUUAGAUCCAUGGAUUUGG
RNAcentral lists this long non-coding RNA (258 nucleotides) under Malus domestica (apple). RNAcentral describes it as "long non-coding RNA (MDOM_LNC019955)". Lineage: Eukaryota; Viridiplantae; Streptophyta; Magnoliopsida; Rosales; Rosaceae. The record is from RNAcentral.